GACGGAGGAUGCAAGCGUUAUCCGGAAUGAUUGGGCGUAAAGCGUCCGCAGGUGGCAGUUCAAGUCUGCUGUCAAAGACCGGGGCUUAACUUCGGAAAGGCAGUGGAAACUGAACAGCUAAAGUAUGGUAGGGGCAGAGGGAAUUCCUGGUGUAGCGGUGAAAUGCGUAGAUAUCAGGAAGAACAUCGGUGGCGAAGGCGCUCUGCUGGACCAUAACUGACACUCAGGGACGAAAGCUAGGGGAGCGAAUGGG
Molecule: ribosomal RNA, 253 nt
Filed under: uncultured bacterium
Lineage: Bacteria
Description: partial 16S ribosomal RNA
Rfam family: Bacterial small subunit ribosomal RNA
Source: RNAcentral